GGGAAUUAUUACAGAACACGCAAAGCAGAAGACAAGCGUCUUGGCCAUGGUGGGAUUCCUGACCAUGUCUCCAGAACCUUUCCGGAAUCCUACUAGCUGCACAGACUUAGUGACUCCUUAUUCUUCAAGACUAGAUCAUCUUGGUGAUAAUGGCAUUAAGAAAUGACACCACGGGCUGUUAAUCACUUCUGUCUCCUCUGCGAGGGCACUCAUUGACCUCGAUGUAAUUUCCUGGCCUCCCGAUGUCUCGGUGCCCCAGUGGCUGGUGAGAAGCACCCUGGACAUGAAUGUCUGUCCCCCCGAAGGUGGAAAUCCUAUCUUGAUGGUCUUGCCACUGGCUUAUCGGACUCUGUCCAGGUCUUGUUGCUAAUGGACACAGUUUUAGGGGUGCACGGCCAGACUCUUCAUCACGUGGGAUUAGUACUGCAUCGUAUCAUGAAGAUUCUAUCAGUCCGGUGCUACCAUGGUUUCCUUGCAGCCUCAUACCUCCUUCAAGCUCAUCCCAGAGGAAGUACCUGACCUCCUCAGUAAGACCACAGCCUUGCAAACUGGACCUUAUAAAGAAGGAAAGGAUGACCAGCAGGCUAGAGAUUCAAGGAGGAGUUGACGCCGAAGCUUGUGACUGAAGGCAGUCUGCUGGCAGAAUUCCCUCUUCCCCGAGGGAGAUCAGUCUUUACCUUAAGGCCUUCAACUGAUUAGAUGCAGCCCACCCACAUUAUGGAGAGCAAUCUGCUUUGAAGAAAGUCUAAAUGUUAACCUUAUCUGAAAAGUACCUUCACAGCAACUUCUGGAUGUGUUUGAUCAAAUAUCUGAGUACUAUGGUCAAGCCACAUUGACACGUACAAUUAACUAUCACAGCAGCUAAGGGUUUUAUGGAAAGAAAACUGGGGGGAAAGAAGAGGGGACUGAAACAACCUAUGGGGGCAUUUGGCUAAGAAAAGAAAAGCACUUUAGAUAAAUGAAAGAAACAUCCAGAACAGAGGGUGGUUCUUGCUAAACUCUCUGCUUGGGGGGCUACCCAGCAAAGCCACCUUGAAGGACAUGGUACCAUCAGGGCAGCCAUCUCAAAGUAAUCAUGGCAACAUGGUGUCUCUUUGGCCCAGAGAGGCUUGGAGGGUUAGCCGUAUCCAGCUGCCUUUGGUUCCUGUGUGUGCAGACAGCUGCGUGCCAGUUAAAAGAUCCAUCAUAGCAGAACUGAGGUAGCUCUGUACAGAAGGCUGCAGAGAUAACAAACCACUUGGGCUGCAGCUGAAUGGAUUCACUGCCAGGCCUCAGAAAGUUCUCGAGGACGUGGCCCUGAAUCAGCCAAGGAGUGCCCAACUUCACCCAAGCAGAGAGAGAGACACACACACAGCAGACCUCAAGUUUCACUGGCUGCAGACUUCAGGUGCAAGCACUAGCAGGUCCGCGUGCAAUUGGGUAGGUCAAGGGUGUUGCUUCUGACACGAGUGUUGAUCUGGCUUUGUGCCUGCAGGCCCCACGCUUGCCCUUCCAUUGUGUGGUUGCAUAAACCACGCCCAGGCACCAUCUUGGAGGGGAGUCGGGGAUGGCAGGCAGAAA
Long non-coding RNA from Ailuropoda melanoleuca (giant panda), 1560 nucleotides. RefSeq lists it as uncharacterized. NCBI's taxonomy places the organism in Eukaryota, Metazoa, Chordata, Mammalia, Carnivora, Ursidae. The transcript has 4 exons. The record is from RefSeq and is a predicted model, not a curated record.